Molecule: ribosomal RNA, 300 nt
Filed under: uncultured Glaciecola sp.
Lineage: Bacteria; Pseudomonadati; Pseudomonadota; Gammaproteobacteria; Alteromonadales; Alteromonadaceae
Description: bacterial SSU rRNA
Rfam family: Bacterial small subunit ribosomal RNA
Source: RNAcentral
AUACUUAGGGAUCUGCCCUUUGGAGGGGGAUAACCAUUGGAAACGAUGGCUAAUACCGCAUAAUGUCUACGGACCAAAGGGGGCUUCGGCUUCCACCAGAGGAUGAACCUAAGCGAGAUUAGCUUGUUGGUGAGGUAACGGCUCACCAAGGCGACGAUCUCUAGCUGUUCUGAGAGGAAGAUCAGCCACACUGGAACUGAGACACGGUCCAGACUCCUACGGGAGGCAGCAGUGGGGAAUAUUGCACAAUGGGGGAAACCCUGAUGCAGCCAUGCCGCGUGUGUGAAGAAGGCCUUAGGG